AGUGAACGCUGGCGGUAGGCCUAACACAUGCAAGUCGAACGGCAGCACAGUAAGAGCUUGCUCUUACGGGUGGCGAGUGGCGGACGGGUGAGGAAUACAUCGGAAUCUACUUUUUCGUGGGGGAUAACGUAGGGAAACUUACGCUAAUACCGCAUACGACCUACGGGUGAAAGCAGGGGAUCUUCGGACCUUGCGCGAUUGAAUGAGCCGAUGUCGGAUUAGCUAGUUGGCGGGGUAAAGGCCCACCAAGGCGACGAUCCGUAGCUGGUCUGAGAGGAUGAUCAGCCACACUGGAACUGAGACACGGUCCAGACUCCUACGGGAGGCAGCAGUGGGGAAUAUUGGACAAUGGGCGCAAGCCUGAUCCGGCCAUACCGCGUGGGUGAAGAAGGCCUUCGGGUUGUAAAGCCCUUUUGUUGGGAAAGAAAAGCAGCAGGUUAAUACCCCGCUGUUCUGGCGGUACCCAAAGAAUAAGCACCGGCUAACUUCGUG
This 492-nucleotide ribosomal RNA is filed under the name uncultured bacterium. Its description in RNAcentral is "partial 16S ribosomal RNA". It matches the Rfam family "Bacterial small subunit ribosomal RNA", at positions 29 to 507 of the family's 1533-position model. The record is from RNAcentral.